RNAcentral lists this ribosomal RNA (431 nucleotides) under uncultured bacterium. RNAcentral describes it as "partial 16S ribosomal RNA". It matches the Rfam family "Bacterial small subunit ribosomal RNA", at positions 29 to 505 of the family's 1533-position model. The record is from RNAcentral.
AACGAACGCUGGCGGCAUGCCUAACACAUGCAAGUCGAACGAGACCUUCGGGUCUAGUGGCGCACGGGUGCGUAACGCGUGGGAACCUGCCCUUAGGUUCGGAAUAACUCCCCGAAAGGGGUGCUAAUACCGGAUAAUGUCUUCGGACCAAAGAUUUAUCGCCUUUGGAUGGGCCCGCGUUGGAUUAGCUAGUUGGUAGGGUAAAAGCCUACCAAGGAGACGAUCCAUAGCUGGUCUGAGAGGAUGAUCAGCCACACUGGGACUGAGACACGGCCCAGACUCCGACGGGAGGCAGAAGUGGGGAAUAGUGGACAAGGGGCGAAAGCCGGAGCCAGCAAUGCCGCGUGAGGGAUUAAGGCCUGAGGGGUGUAAAGCUCUUUUACCCGGGAUGAUAAGGACAGGACCGGGAGAAGAAGCGCCGGCGAACGCCG